This 631-nucleotide ribosomal RNA is filed under the name Geastrum sp. Trappe 26298. RNAcentral describes it as "eukaryotic LSU rRNA". It matches the Rfam family "Eukaryotic large subunit ribosomal RNA", at positions 43 to 656 of the family's 3401-position model. The record is from RNAcentral. Lineage: Eukaryota; Fungi; Basidiomycota; Agaricomycetes; Geastrales; Geastraceae.
UCAAUAAGCGGAGGAAAAGAAACUAACAAGGAUUCCCUAGUAACGGCGAGUGAAGAGGGAAGAGCUCAAAUUUGAAAUCUGGCGGCCUUACGGUCGUCCGAGUUGUAAUCUAGAGAAGUGUUUUCCGUGCUGGACCGUGUACAAGUCCUUUGGAACAAGGCGUCAUAGAGGGUGAGAAUCCCGUAUACGACACGGACUACCAGUGCUCUGUGAUACACUCUCAACGAGUCGAGUUGUUUGGGAAUGCAGCUCAAAAUGGCUGCUAAUUCCAUCUAAAGCUAAAUAUGGGCGAAAGACCGAUAGCGAACAAGUACCGUGAGGGAAAGAUGAAAAGCACUUUGGAAAGAGAGUCAAACAGUACGUGAAAUUGUUGAAAGGGAAACGCUUGAAGUCAGUCGCGUCUUCAGAAACUCAGCCUGGCUUCUGCCUGGUGUACUUUUCUGUGGGACGGGCCAGCAUCAGUUUCGGCCGCCAGAAAAAGGUGGGGGGAAGGUGGCACCUCCGGGUGUGUUAUAGCCCCUCAUCGUAUGUGGCGGCGGGGACUGAGGACCGCAGCACGCCUUUAUGGCCGGGGUUCGCCCACGUAACGUGCUUAGGAUGCUGGCGUAAUGGCUUUAAGCGACCCGUCUUG